Molecule: ribosomal RNA, 794 nt
Filed under: uncultured bacterium
Lineage: Bacteria
Description: bacterial SSU rRNA
Rfam family: Bacterial small subunit ribosomal RNA
Source: RNAcentral
AGAGUUUGAUCCUGGCUCAGAAUGAACGCUGGCGGCGUGCUUAACACAUGCAAGUCGGAUGUGCCGCAAGGUGCAUGGCAGACGGGUGAGUAACGCGUAGGGAACCUACCUCUUUGUGGGGAAUAACGUUCCGAAAGGAAUGGUAAUACCGCAUGAGAUCCACGACUGGGAUGUUGUGGAUGAAAGCCGGGGAUCGAAAGACCUGGCGCAAGGAGAGGGUCCUGCGUCUGAUUAGCUAGUUGGUGGGGUAACGGCCUACCAAGGCGACGAUCAGUAGCCGGCCUGAGAGGGUGAUCGGCCACACUGGAACUGAGACACGGUCCAGACUCCUACGGGAGGCAGCAGUGGGGAAUUUUGCGCAAUGGACGAAAGUCUGACGCAGCAACGCCGCGUGGGUGAUGAAGGUCUUCGGAUUGUAAAACCCUGUCGUCAGGGACGAAGGUUGGGAUCCUAAUACGAUUUCAGCUUGACGGUACCUGGAGAGGAAGCCCCGGCUAACUCUGUGCCAGCAGCCGCGGUAAUACAGAGGGGGCAAGCGUUAUUCGGAAUUAUUGGGCGUAAAGGGCGCGUAGGCGGUUUUGUAAGUAGGAUGUGUAAUCCCCGAGCUCAACUUGGGAACUGCAUCCUAGACUGCAAGGCUAGAGUACUGGAGAGGGUGGUAGAAUUCCACGUGUAGCGGUGAAAUGCGUAGAGAUGUGGAGGAAUACCAGUGGCGAAGGCGGCCACCUGGACAGUAACUGACGCUGAGGCGCGAAAGUGUGGGGAGCAAACAGGAUUAGAUACCCUGGUAGUCC